AAGACUAUACUUUCAGGGAUCAUUUCUAUAGUUUGUUACUAGAGAAGUUUCUCUGAACGUGUAGGGUACCCGAAACCACGAGGAGGAGGCGCAGUGUUCUCUCCUGAGCGUGAAGCCUGCUUUUGGUGUUGCUUAUGCAACUGCCAAUUGCAAUUGAUGAUCGUUCUUCUUCUCCAUUGGAGGAGCAAGAGGGAGAGAACGCAGUCUGAGUGGUU
Small nucleolar RNA from Vulpes vulpes (red fox), 215 nucleotides. The record is from Ensembl. Lineage: Eukaryota; Metazoa; Chordata; Mammalia; Carnivora; Canidae.